UGGGGGAUAUUGCACAAUGGGCGAAAGCCUGAUGCAGCGACGCCGCGUGGGGGAUGAAGGCCUUCGGGUUGUAAACUUCUUUUGCUCUGAACAAGGCAUGCCUUUGGGGUGUGUUGAGUGUAGGGGUUGAUUAGCGCCGGCUAACUACGUGCCAGCAGCCGCGGUAAUACGUAGGGCGCGAGCGUUGUCCGGAAUUAUUGGGCGUAAAGGGCUUGUAGGUGGCUGGUUGCGUCUGUCGUGAAAGCUCAUGGCUUAACUGUGGGUUUGCGGUGGGUACGGGCUGGCUGGAGUGCAGUAGGGGAGGCUGGAAUUCCUGGUGUGGCGGUGGAAUGCGCAGAUAUCAGGAGAAAUACCGGUGGCGAAGGCGGGUCUCUGGGCUGUUACUGACGCUGAGGAGCGAAAGCGUGGGGAGCGAACAGG
This 420-nucleotide ribosomal RNA is filed under the name Fusobacteriota bacterium. RNAcentral's name for it is "Fusobacteria bacterium partial 16S ribosomal RNA". It matches the Rfam family "Bacterial small subunit ribosomal RNA", at positions 355 to 776 of the family's 1533-position model. Lineage: Bacteria; Fusobacteriati; Fusobacteriota. The record is from RNAcentral.